Long non-coding RNA from Arachis stenosperma, 149 nucleotides. RefSeq lists it as uncharacterized. The record is from RefSeq and is a predicted model, not a curated record. Lineage: Eukaryota; Viridiplantae; Streptophyta; Magnoliopsida; Fabales; Fabaceae. The transcript has 3 exons.
AGCUGACCUGCGAUCGACAGAAGGUCGCUAUGUGUCCUCUGAAACGUUGAGUCCGACUGACUCGAAUAUGAUGGUUGUGAGGGAACAAACACCGUCGGAAGCGCUUGCAAUAGUCCCGAUCCAGGUUUUUGUGCCGGCAUCCCAAACAA